UACGUAGGCAGCAAGCGUUGUUCGGAGUUACUGGGCGUAAAGGGUGUGUAGGCGGUCUUCUAUGUUUGGUGUGAAAUCUCCCGGCUCAACUGGGAGGGUGCGCCGAAAACUGGAAGGCUAGAGUACUGGAUGGGAGAGUGGAAUUCCUGGUGUAGCGGUGAAAUGCGUAGAUAUCAGGAGGAACACCUGUGGUGUAGACGGCUCUCUGGACAGUAACUGACGCUGAGACACGAAAGCGUGGGUAGCAAACAGG
RNAcentral lists this ribosomal RNA (253 nucleotides) under uncultured bacterium. RNAcentral's name for it is "partial 16S ribosomal RNA". It matches the Rfam family "Bacterial small subunit ribosomal RNA", at positions 524 to 776 of the family's 1533-position model. The record is from RNAcentral.